CCCUCACGACCUGUGCAUCUACUACGACAAUUAGCAAUGUUUUGUUGUCCAGCUGAAACUACCGUCUAUUUCUGGGUAGGGUUCAGCCCUUCACGGGACUGCAAGGACAAGGAGGGCGGGGUCAAGUUCUUAUGGUUCAGUGGCAACAUCAACAAAUGCACCUCCAAGCUGCUCACUUGUGGUCAAUGAUACUACAGAUUAUCGGAUGGAAUCAUGGAAGUACUCAUGUUCCUCUAACACGUCAUGUGAGAGAUCCACCAGCUAAUAGUUCUCUUUGGCCAUGAACUUCUCCCUGCUCCGCACCAUCGAGACACUGCCACUGCAGCGUAAAAUGUGCUGCCUCGGCAACACUGGCAGAGCUCCUUUGGGGCCAAACUGGGCCAUGGCCCGCCCAAGUUUUCUGCCAAAAAAAUAUCAACUCCUAU
Long non-coding RNA from Lolium rigidum, 425 nucleotides. RefSeq lists it as uncharacterized. The record is from RefSeq and is a predicted model, not a curated record. The transcript is spliced from 3 exons. NCBI's taxonomy places the organism in Eukaryota, Viridiplantae, Streptophyta, Magnoliopsida, Poales, Poaceae.